CCUACGGGAGGCAGCAGUAGGGAAUCUUGCGCAAUGGGCGAAAGCCUGACGCAGCCAUGCCGCGUGAAUGAUGAAGGUCUUAGGAUUGUAAAAUUCUUUCACCGGGGACGAUAAUGACGGUACCCGGAGAAGAAGCCCCGGCUAACUUCGUGCCAGCAGCCGCGGUAAUACGAAGGGGGCUAGCGUUGCUCGGAAUUACUGGGCGUAAAGGGAGCGUAGGCGGAUAGUUUAGUCAGAGGUGAAAGCCCAGGACUCAACCUUGGAACUGCCUUUGAUACUGGCUAUCUUGAGUACGGGAGAGGUGUGUGGAACUCCGAGUGUAGAGGUGAAAUUCGUAGAUAUUCGGAAGAACACCAGUGGCGAAGGCGACACACUGGCCCGUUACUGACGCUGAGGCUCGAAAGCGUGGGGAGCAAACAGGAUUAGAUACCCUGGUAGUCCACGCCGUAAACGAUGAGUGCUAGUUGUCGGCAUGNAUGCAUGUCGGUGACGCAGCUACGACAUAAGUACACUCCGCCGUCGGGUAGGUACGGUCGCGAAGAAUUAAAACUUAAAAGGUAAAGUUAGUACGGCGUGAGACGNGCCGACGGACGACGACGAGGGAGGUAGG
RNAcentral lists this ribosomal RNA (610 nucleotides) under uncultured bacterium. Its description in RNAcentral is "bacterial SSU rRNA". The stretch from base 1 to 518 matches the Rfam family "Bacterial small subunit ribosomal RNA", at positions 338 to 873 of the family's 1533-position model. The record is from RNAcentral.